CAAGCGCUGAUUACCACGCGUUGUUCCCUCCCGCCCACUCCUGGACUUAAAUAAAGCAGUAUUAACCAAGCGCUGGCCUGGCUGCUGCUGGCCAUUAGCCAACACACACAAGCCAUGAUUUCUUUCGAAAGACAAAAAAGCCAUCCUAGCCGAGGGGGGACACGCCCAUCGGCUGAAUAGGAACCAAGUCACAUGCCUUGAGAUCGAUCUGGAAAUAAAGGGGGGAAAAGAGGAAAGACGAUUUUUGCAUACGGAGAAGAGGACCUUUGUAAAGCUCUUCCGGGCCUGAAAAAGCCAGAACUCAGGCUGGGAUUGAAAGAUCAAGACCCGGCUGCAGCCCGUCGCGAAGAAGGUACCCUCGGCAUAGGUACCAUUAUGUUAAGGCGAAGGAGAGAGACAUGGGCACAGCAAGAGACCAUGCAGUUCAUCAGCCUCUUUGGGGAUGUAGAUGUGCAGAAGAAGCUUAACUCUUGCCAUAGGAACCAAGCUGUCUAUGAACAACUUGCAGAAAGGAUGAAGAAGCAUGGCUUCAAGCGAACGGCACAGCAGCUGCGCGUCAAAGCCAAGGAUUUAAAAAAGCAAUACAGGGACAUUAAGAAGAGUGGUCGGCAACUCAGUAAACAUAAUUCCUUUUGGAAAUACUACAAUAUUCUGGAUAGCAUUCUUUCUGAUGACAGUAAGGGACCCAAAGCAGUCACCUCUUCCACUCCGGCCAUUAAACAUAGUGAAAAGCGUGCAGAGGGGCAGAAGAAUGUAACACAGCCUAAGGAGCAAUUGCAUUCCAGCCAGAGCCAAGAAUGUGGGUCAUCUUACAACAGCUCCAGAGCUUCCCAGAAGUUAUCAGAUCCUUCCCAUGAUGCCUCUGCUGUCAGUUCCUCAGUUGUCCAAAUGUUAUCAAGAAGAGGUCUGCAGCGUCCACGAACCAGCCCAGCAAUCACCCACGUCAAGGCAAGAUCCAGAAGGUGCUGGUCACUAGUACACUUCUCUAAAGUAUUUCUUCAUUAUAGCAAAAACAUGGAGAAGUUUCAGGAGAUCUUCCAAAACCAUUUGGGUAUGGAGAGGCAAGAGAGAGAGAAAAUUCAAAAGGAAGCAUCCAGGACUAGGAAGGAAAUCAAAACUGCUGCCAGUCAGAUGCGUGAAGCGAUUCUUGUCCAAGCAGAAGCAAUUAAUAAAGUUGCAGAGGCUAUAAACCGAUACAACGAUCUUCUUGAAUGUGUUAUUUCAGAACCAGAUCCACAAAGUGGAGAUUAA
Molecule: long non-coding RNA, 1251 nt
Filed under: Salvator merianae (Argentine black and white tegu)
Lineage: Eukaryota; Metazoa; Chordata; Lepidosauria; Squamata; Teiidae
Description: lncRNA (ENSSMRG00000002404.1)
Source: RNAcentral